This 8349-nucleotide unclassified non-coding RNA is filed under the name Leishmania donovani. RNAcentral describes it as "gene:LdHU3.27.2660(CDS-product:hypothetical_prote in_conserved)". Lineage: Eukaryota; Euglenozoa; Kinetoplastea; Trypanosomatida; Trypanosomatidae. The record is from RNAcentral.
AAUCACCGCCAUCCAGAAGCGCAGCGUUCUAAUUCACAGAGAACUCAGCCACAUACCUCCAGAGCACGCGUGUGAAGGGUACGGGGAGGAGGUGACAUCAACGUGCCGCGUGGCAUCACAGUUGCUGUGGGCCGUUCAUUUGCCGGUUCACGUGGAGUGCGUAGGCACACACACACACAAGGCAACCGAGAACUCCGCAACAACGGAAAGGGAAACUAACGAAGGCGGAUUAAAGAAGAGCAACACAAAAAGGCUUACCAAAGAAGGAUUCGGCGAGGCGCAUACGCCAGGAGCGAACCAGCCGACGCGCACACUCCACACGGUCAGAAUCGUGGCGAAGAAGAGGACGAGAAGGGAGGCGAGCUACAGCGAUCUAUUUCUAUCUGUAUAUAGAGCGAUUAGAUACACUAGGCACACGGCUUGCGCAUGUGGGGCAACAACUUUUGCAAAGCUGGUGCGCACCAGCAGUCCGCGCUCUGCUGCGAUGGACAACCGGCCACCAUGUCCGGCUCCCGCACCUCUUUGCCUUCUCCUUCCUACGCUGCGCAACCCGCACGUCCACCGCCCGCUGGCGUGCUCUCUGCCGAUCUUGCCCGACCGAUUAGUGUGCGGGAGCUGGCGCAAUCGCGAGUGCCUGCGGUGCCGCCGCCUCCACCAGCGACGCAGGCACCACGACCUAGCGCCACCACAGCCGGCUUCGCGGGCUUUGGAGUACCCACGUCGUCGGCUGUUUAUGCUGCUACCAGUGGUGUGUCGACGUCGCGGCCGCUCUCCACCCACGCCGACGCCGGCGACUUGACGUCGCUCGCCCACCGCGACAUGGAUCACCUCAGCGGCAGUGAGCUCUACAACUACGCCUCCCACCUGCAGGAAUCAUCGAGGCAGUACAGCGGGUACCUCUCGGCGGCGUACGCAAAGCGCGACCAGUACCGUGGCGAGGUUGCCCACCUGAAGGAGGAGCUGCACAACAGGUACGUGGAAAUCGACGCGCUCCGGCGCGAACAGGAGAGGGCGAGCGAUGCUUUGCUGAAAGUGCGGGAGGACAACGCUCAACUGCGCCAGAAACUCGCCGAGGCUGAGGGGCAUGCCCGCAACAUGCAGGCCAAGAUGUCCGUGCUGAGCGGCGCUGACCCCUCCAUCGCUGUCCAUUUCUACCAGUCUCAGUUGGCUCUGAAAGAUGCGCAGCUGCGUGAGCUGCAGCAGGAGUGCGAGAGGGCAGCUGCUGCGUCGUCGCAGCGCCGCAGCUCCAGCACUACUGCAGCUGAGCACGGCCGGCGAAGCGCGAACAUCUCCGGUGAGGGUGCUGCAGCGCCCCACACGUCGCCGUCACGUGAUCUACCGAGCGCGGAGGAGUUGCAGGAUGGGGCUGAAGCGGCGUCUGCUGCGCUGCACACUGCGCUCGAGGAGCUCCAGUGCCUGAACACAUCUCUCAGCCACCGCCUCGAAGAGGAACACACAGCUCACAAAGCAGCGCUGGCCGCACACGCUGAAGCGAGUGCCACUGCCACGGCCGAUCGCGCAGAGCUGCUCGACACGAUUGCGCAACUGCGGCAGCAGUGCGCAGAUAUGCAGAGCGCGGAAGACGAGCUAGUGGCUGCCCUCACCCAGCGCGCGCCGAUCUCAAAGAAAGACUACGCAUCACUUCAAGCGUCUUACGAUGACCUCACCGCCGCCCUUGCCAAGGCAGAGGCGCAGGUAGCUGCACUCCAGGAGAAAGAGCAGCAGCACCAUCACAGCGCGCAGCAGGCUCAGGAGGAGCUUCGCCACUCGCUCACCACUGGACUGGAGGAGCGACAGAGCAUGCAAGCCCGCAAUGAACAGAUGCAGUCUCUCGUCGAUCAUCUGGAGAGGGAGUUGGAGCUAGCAGAGCGUGCGAACCAACUGCGCCAAGAGCAGCUUGACGUCGCGAUCAGCGGAAACCAGCAGCUCGCUGAAAGCCUUCAUGUGGCGCAGGAGCAGCUGCUCAGCGCUACCUCGGAGUUGCAGGAUCUCCGCGACACACGUGAGAGCCUAGAGUCCCAGCUCCGUGAGCUCCGACAACGCAUCGAGGAGCUCGAGCAGGGGGAGCAGCACCAGCGGCAUCGGCACGGCGGCGCAGAAGCGGAGAGGACAUUGAUCCACACACCAGCUGCAUCAGCAGAGAGCGAGGCAUCACAGCAGCGGCAGGAAUCGGAGGCUGAGCUCGCAAGUCUGCGCUCUCAGCGCGAUGCUGUUGUCAGCGACCGCGAUGACAUCAUAGGCGAGGUUCGACGCUUGCCGGACGAGCGGCGCGCCCUUCUCAUAUCACCACCAGCGCACGCGGAGGAACAGCUGCAGAGCCGCUCCUCGGCUGUGAGGGCGCCUUUAGACGUCCGUGCAGAUGAUAGGGAAUGGCAAAAACAAGAGGACAUCGCUGCCCUCGAGGCAGCGCACCAGUGCAUCGAGCAGAUGAAGCAGACCAUAGCAGCCCUGCAGUCGGAGCGCGUGCGCGUGGAGGCUGACCUGAAGGCGGAGGUAAACACGCUGGAGGCGGAGCUGGCGUCACAGUCCCGCGCGCUGGCCGAGGCCGAGGCGGCUGCAGCGGCGCAGCAGGCGCACCUAGAGGAGGUCAUGGCGGCUCUGAGGGACGAGCUGGUGGCAACGCAGGCGCAGGAAAAGCGGCUCCGAGCGUCCGAGGAGGCGCACCGGGAGCGGUGUGCGGAGCACCAGCGCGCGGUGGAGCAGCUGCAAGCGCACGUAGAGGAGCUGGAGAGGGCUGCGCGGGACGCAGCGAGCAGCCUUCCGACACCGCCGCCCGCCCAGCCUUCCACUGCUGCUGAGUCGGAGCUGCGCGCUAUGAAUGCGGCGCUGGACUCGCUUGCAUAUCAGCUGGAGGACGCUCAGCACCGCGUCAAGGAGCUGUCGGCAGAGCACGCGCGCACGGUGGAGGAGCUGGCGCGCGCGACUCGCGCUGUAGCGGAGCUGGAGGCGCGUGCUGCGGACGCGGAGGGCAAGCGCGAGGUCAUGCACACGGCAGCGGAGGUCACUGAAGCCGAGCUGAUGGCGCGCGUGGCGGCGCUGACGGCGGAGAACGCGCAGCUGAGGGAGAAGCUGUCGACCUCACGCGCCGCUGUGACGACGUUUGCGUCGAGGCAGACGGACGGUGAGAGCGCUGCUGCCUCGCUUGAGGAGCGGUGCGCGGCGGAGGCACGGCGCAGCGAGGCCGCGGAGGCGGAGGCAUCGGCGCUGCGGGAAACGCUGAACGGAACAGCUGCGGAGCUGGCGGAGGUGCUGCAGCGCAGCGAGGACGUGCAGGCGACGCUGGAGCGCACGGUGGCACGGCUCGCCGAGCAGGAGUCACUUGUGGGGGUUCUGAGUGCUGAGAGCACAAGGCUGCAGGAUGAGCUGGCUACUGCGCAGCGGUCCGUGCUGCUGCUCACGAGCGAGCGUGACGCGCUUGGCGAAGAGGCAGCCGGACUUCGCGGAAAGAUCUCCGCGGCAGAGGACCGCGCGUCGGAUGCGGCUGCCGCGCAGCAGCGUCUGCAGGCGUGCCUAGAGGAAGCCGAGGCCGCGGUACGCAGCAAGGACGUUGAGCUCAGCACGGCGCUUGCUGCGCUGGACCGCACUGCUUCCGAGGUGUGCGAUGCCGAGCAGCGGCUGCAGGUGUAUUCAGAGGCGAAGGAGCAGCUGGCGGCAGAGCACGCGCGCACGGUGGAGGAGCUGGCGCGCGCGACUCGCGCUGUAGCGGAGCUGGAGGCGCGUGCUGCGGACGCGGAGGGCAAGCGCGAGGUCAUGCACACGGCAGCGGAGGUCACUGAAGCCGAGCUGAUGGCGCGCGUGGCGGCGCUGACGGCGGAGAACGCGCAGCUGAGGGAGAAGCUGUCGACCUCACGCGCCGCUGUGACGACGUUUGCGUCGAGGCAGACGGACGGUGAGAGCGCUGCUGCCUCGCUUGAGGAGCGGUGCGCGGCGGAGGCACGGCGCAGCGAGGCCGCGGAGGCGGAGGCAUCGGCGCUGCGGGAAACGCUGAACGGAACAGCUGCGGAGCUGGCGGAGGUGCUGCAGCGCAGCGAGGACGUGCAGGCGACGCUGGAGCGCACGGUGGCACGGCUCGCCGAGCAGGAGGCUCUUGUUGAGCAGCUGAACUAUGAUGCAUCGGAACUAAAUGACGCCCGGGCGGUGCUCACCGAUGAGGUUACACGGCUGCAGAAGGCACUGGCAGCCGCCGUGUCGGACAAAGCCGACGUGGUGGCGCAGCUUUUGGCGACACAGAAAGAGCUGGAUCGCGCUGCGGAGGCGCAGGAUGCACAAUAUCGUGAUGAAGAGCGUCUCCAGGACGCGCUGGCGACGACGACGUCGGCCUUUGAUGUUCAAACUACGCAGGUUCGUCUUGGCAUGGCUCAUGUGGUAGACAUGUCAAGGGCGUUCUGCAGAGUCGCUGAGGUAGCGGUGCAACAGUCGGCUUCCCAGACGGACGGCGCGUCGGGCACAGGAACGAGUGUGCAGGAAAUCCUUUCGCCGUGGACUCGAGCUCUGGAGUGGGUUGCUGCCAUGGAACAGCGCCUCGAAGCUUUGGAUCGAGGUGCAAUGCCGAACUCCUUCACCAGGACAAACGGCCGACGCGAGCGGCGGCGGCGUCGGCGGGGUCGCACCACGGAGUCAGAGAACGACGAUGCAGUGGAGAUGGAGUCGAACAGCGGGUCAUAUGUGCUGGGCACAUCUCCUCUGUGUCGCGCGGUGUCCGCCAACCGUGCAGAGGCGGCCUUUGUGCGGUUGAUAGAUGAGCAGGCGGCCGCGACGAACACCAUUGCGGAUCUUCGAAGAACACUGGCGGACAAGGAGGUGGACCUGACCAACUUACGCUCUGCGAUGGAUGCACUGGCAAGCGACCUGAUGGGUGAGCGAGACCGCGCCGACAACUUGUCUGCCGCCAUUGAUGACGCGUCGGAAAAGAUCGCGUCGGCACAGGCCGAGUUCGAGGAGCAGCUCAGGCAGAGGACGGCAGUCACCACAGCAGAGGUUGUGGAGGCGCGCCGUGCUGAAGCGCGCGCCACUGCAGCGCAGCUGCGCGCAGAAGAGCAGCUGGCUGCGGUCGAGAAGGAUCUCAAGGAACAGGAGGCUGUACUGCGCAAGCUGCAGGAUGAGAAUCAUCGACUUACCCGAGAGGCAGACCGGCUGCUACGCACUUCGCGUCUUGAGCCCAGUUCGCGUGCCCGCAGCAAUGUAAGUGGCUCCGUGACGCCGAAGUCGCUGUCUCUGUCAGCUACGUCUGCCGAGAAUGCAGCGCAGCGCUUCACAACGGCACCUUCCACUUUAGAGGCUAUCGAACAGGCUCAAAUUCUGCAGGUGUCUAGCUUGCAGGCAGACCUCAUGCUCAGUCGCCGGCAGGCCCGCGAGCUGGAGGGACGAGAGGCGACGCUGCGGCAGGCCUGCGCGGCACUGGAGCAGCAGGUCAGUGAGCUGCGCGCCAAGGCUGCAGAGUCGGAGCACCUGCGCGAGGAUCUGGCGACGCUACGCGCUGACUAUGUGGAGCUGGAGCAGCGCUACAGUGAGUUGGAGCUCAUGGCGACAGCCGCGGGUGGCGGCACGAUGCAGGAGCUUAAGCAGCUCCGCCAACAACUGAAGGUGCGGGAGGCGGAGCUGGAGGAGGUGAAGGCACGAAUGCGGGACCUCGUGCUGAGCAAGGCCGCACCAGAGCUUCAGGCGGCGCGGCGGCAGGAGGCGCUGCGAGAGAGCCUCAGCGGCAUCACGACACAGCUGGCUGCCACCCAGGCACAGUACGGCGGUGGCACAGGCGGCAGCAGCAAAGCUCGCAGCCGUCGCGAUAGCCUCACUGCUGCCCUCAGCAACUCCGAUCUCAAUCUGUCUUCGUCGAGGCCAUCGCCGCAAGAUGUGCUGAACUCCCGCAUCGAGCACUUGCAAACCCUCGUACACGACCGUGAGGUGGCGCUCGAGAAGGUUCAGGCUGCUCAGCUUGAAUCCCGCGCUGCCAUGGACACGCUCGAGGAUCAGCUGGCCGCCAAGACAGCCGCCUUGGAGCGCGCUGAAGGCCUUGUCGCCGAAUAUGCGGACACCAUCAACGCGUUCACCAUGGCUGCAGUGGCAAGGCGUGGUAACCGUGGUGCAGUCUCCACCACGGUUCCCCCUCUGAGCAGCGGGAUGGGCAGUCCGGAUGCAGAGGCGCUAUCGGCUUCUGUGCCAACUCUGACCCCGCUGACGCCGCGAACUCGCGCUGCCGUCAAUGGACAGCCGCACGCUGCCGUUGCCAUGGUGUCACCAGCACCGCGCAUGCCGAACCUAGACGAGGUCGCAGACGACAGCGAUGGUAGCGGCGAAGGCAAGCAGGCGGACUCUGCGGGCCCCUCGACCGAUUCAGCGCCGCCCCCGGUGACUCACCGACGGACCAGCGCUAGCGGUAGCUGGAGGGGCGCAAAGAGUUGCCCUGCCCAUCGCCCAUCGUCGUCGACAGAGCGGAGUGCGCCAUCGUCUCCGUCUAAUGUCCCUGGGCGCAAGUCUUUUGCGGGCGCCUCUGUGCCGGCCACUACUCGGAAGCGAGCUCGCUCCAGCACGAACUCAUAACGGCAAGGUCACCCCACAGCAGAGCCGCGCGUAAGCGGAGCCUACUCGAAGAGCGACUUGCACCUGCCACGUGGGGCAAUGCCGAGUCUCCCGCUCACCCGUGCCCGCACGCAUCUGACCACUCAUGCCGGUGCGGCAGAAGAAGACGGGCCACGCCGAACACCCCUUUAUCUCCCUUCCCCCUCGAUAUGGUGCCUCUCCUCGUGCUUGAUGUGUUUGGCCAGUCUGGCUGGACGGCGUGCUUGGCCCCCUCCCUCACGACCGCUUCUCUUUGCCCCAAUCAUCUGCUCCGACCUCUCCGACCUCUCCGCCCUUGUUCCGCUCUCUUGCCCACGAUCGCCUUUCUCGCUCUCGCUCUCUCCUCACCUGUGCUGUCGUCCUUUUCGUCUCCUCAUCUGUGUUGCACAUUGUGUAUGCGAGUGUGGUGCGUGCGCUUGACCGCUGUGUAUCUUCGAAAAGAAACGCAGGGGGGGGGCGGUGGCGGUGGUGGUGAGGGAAGAGGGGCCUUUGGCAGAGAUGUACGUAUGCGCGCAGACGGACCUCAGACAGGCACCGGUAUACACACCGCACGAAACCCCGACAUGGGUCGAGGCGGACAUUCUAGUGCUCUUCUCCCUUCCUCUUUCCCCCGCUGCUCAGCUUUUAUAGCUUGAUUUCUCACACCCCUCGUGGUCUGUCCUCUCGCGCUGUCUUCGCACCGCUGCGCCUUGGCGCAGAUGCUUCAGGCACUUGGCACCCCUUCGGCAUGUUCUUCUCGACUCUUCCUUCCCCCAUUCCCGUCUCCUUGUGCUGCGCGCCCCCCUCUCUUCUGUUUUGCGAUAUCGCCUACCGUCGUUGUGGUGCAUCAGCUGAACCCCGCCUCCUUCUCUUCUCAACGGUGCAUGCGUGCUUGCAUAUGUUGAUGUACUUGCUCCGAGCUGUGAUCUCAUCACCUCCUUCUUUACCCGCUCCUCGCAUUCUCGCGUGGCGUUUUUGGUCUACGGUGUGAACUCACAGAGGAGGUUGUGGUUGUGGUGAUGGUGGAGCUAUGCGUUUGCAUUGCUGUGCUUCACGUACGAGACGAGAACGGAAAAGGCGUCGCCUGACAAGAGCUCCUCCCGUACGUCCUCCCUCCCUCCCUGUGCACUCAUCUCGGUCUUCCGCUCGCUUUCGCGCUGCCCAUCACCUUCCAACGCAGCCCCUUCUUUUUUUUCUUCCCCCCUCUGGUCUUUCCUCCACGAAUCGCCAUGUCCUCUUCGGUUUCGCGCACUUGCACCACCAGGCCACCGGUGUGCUUCUGCGUCACCCUUUGCUGUGAAUGUUGGUGUGGCGGCGGCUCCCAAGAUGACUGCACGUCCAACCUCCCACCCUCACGACGGUGCUGUGUUUCGCUCACUGUCUCUGUCUGUUCCUAUUCUUGCCUGUGCGCAUGUAAAAUGCAUUUCUUCUGUCUCGCGCCUCGCCAGGACAUCAAUGGUGAGCAACUCAGCGACCGUAAAUCUAAAUUGAGGUGUCCUCGAGUGCCAGUGACUUGCGCGCGCGCCAGAGGGAUAUCGACACAGACGCGCGCACACAGGUAUACAGUAUCCACCUCUUUUCGGCUCAGCUUCGUUCACCACCUAUUCGUGGUGACCUUGGCUCUUGAGAAGAAAAUACAAAUUUCUUGCCCUUCGGGCUUCCGAUUCUACCAUCGGGUUCCUCAUUGUCCAGCCUUGCACCUCAUAAAGCGUGUCAUCGUUCAUCCACCAUCACGCCCAUUCCAACAAGCCAGCGCCCCACCUCAGCGUGGCGCUGCCUGUCGCACAGAUGAACAUCGAUUCGACACACAGGAUU